This 219-nucleotide ribosomal RNA is filed under the name uncultured bacterium. RNAcentral's name for it is "partial 16S ribosomal RNA". It matches the Rfam family "Bacterial small subunit ribosomal RNA", at positions 28 to 250 of the family's 1533-position model. The record is from RNAcentral.
GACGAACGCUGGCGGCGUGCUUAACACAUGCAAGUCGAGCGGUAAGGCCCUUCGGGGUACACGAGCGGCGAACGGGUGAGUAACACGUGGGUGACCUGCCUCUAGCUCUGGGAUAAGCCUGGGAAACUGGGUCUAAUACCGGAUAUGACUCCAUGACGCAUGUUGUGGGGUGGAAAGCCUUGUGCGGCUGAGGAUGGGCCCGCGGCCUAUCAGCUUGUU